Non-coding RNA from Picea glauca (white spruce), 122 nucleotides. The record is from Rfam. NCBI's taxonomy places the organism in Eukaryota, Viridiplantae, Streptophyta, Pinopsida, Pinales, Pinaceae.
AUCUAAUGUAAUUCCUACAAUGUUAAUGCAAAGGAUUCCAUUAGAACUUCGUAGCUAAGCGCACUUGGGAUAGAGUAGUACUUGGAUGGGUGAGAUCCUAGGAAGUCCUAAUAUUUUACGUG